Molecule: ribosomal RNA, 508 nt
Filed under: uncultured diatom
Lineage: Eukaryota; Bacillariophyta
Description: bacterial SSU rRNA
Rfam family: Bacterial small subunit ribosomal RNA
Source: RNAcentral
UGGCGGACGGGUGAGUAACACGUGAGAAUUCACCUUUAGGUGGGGAAUAACUUUUGGAAACGAUAGCUAAUGCCCCAUAUACUCGUAAGAGACAAAAGAGCAAUCUGCCUAAAGAGAAGCUCGCGGCUGAUUAGCUAGUUGGUAAGGUAAUGGCUUACCAAGGCGACGAUCAGUAGCUGGUUUGAGAGAACGAUCAGCCACACUGGAACUGAGACACGGUCCAGACUCCUACGGGAGGCAGCAGUGGGGAAUUUUCCGCAAUGGGCGAAAGCCUGACGGAGCAAUACCGCGUGAGGGAUGACGGCCUUUGGGUUGUAAACCUCUUUUAUCAAGGAGGAAGUUCUGACGUGUACUUGAUGAAUAAGCAUCGGCUAACUCCGUGCCAGCAGCCGCGGUAAGACGGAGGAUGCAAGUGUUAUCCGGAAUCACUGGGCGUAAAGCGUCUGUAGGUUGUUUAAAAAGUCUACUGUUAAAAAUUGAAGCUUAACUUCAAAGAUGCCGUAGAAAC